This 212-nucleotide long non-coding RNA is filed under the name Elaeis guineensis (African oil palm). RNAcentral describes it as "long non-coding RNA (EGUI_LNC061465)". The record is from RNAcentral. Lineage: Eukaryota; Viridiplantae; Streptophyta; Magnoliopsida; Arecales; Arecaceae.
GUUAUCAAUAAGGACGAUAAUAUUUAUCAAGUGUAGAUCGUUGUGUGCCAUAUGGAUUAGUUAUCUUCUUAACCAAAAAGUGUAGAGACACUGAUAUGGCAAACACAUGAGAUGUAGGAGUACAUCAUCACCCAACAGUGAUCAAAUUAUGGAGCACUCGACUGUCAAGAGCAGCUUGCGAAAGAUAUGGGCAUAAGUGUCCUUCCAACCUG